RNAcentral lists this ribosomal RNA (283 nucleotides) under Chlorolobion braunii. RNAcentral describes it as "partial small subunit ribosomal RNA". It matches the Rfam family "Eukaryotic small subunit ribosomal RNA", at positions 598 to 888 of the family's 1831-position model. The record is from RNAcentral. Lineage: Eukaryota; Viridiplantae; Chlorophyta; Chlorophyceae; Sphaeropleales; Selenastraceae.
CGUAUAUUUAAGUUGUUGCAGUUAAAAAGCUCGUAGUUGGAUUUCGGGUGGGUUCCAGCGGUCCGCCUAUGGUGAGUACUGCUGUGGCCCUCCUUUCUGUCGGGGACGGUCUCCUGGGCUUCACUGUCCGGGAAUCGGAGUCGACGAUGAUACUUUGAGUAAAUUAGAGUGUUCAAAGCAAGCCUACGCUCUGAAUACUUUAGCAUGGAAUAUCGCGAUAGGACUCUGGCCUAUCUCGUUGGUCUGUAGGACCGGAGUAAUGAUUAAGAGGGACAGUCGGGGG